UGCAACCGCAACCGCAUCCACGACCGCAACCGCAAUUUAAAACCUUGCCCGGUACUGGUACUUUUUUAAAAUAGUCGUACCAGUGCUUCACAGAUGAUUCACCUAUGGGUAGUAGAUUCUAUAUUCAUUACAAAUUGUGAAUGAAAAUGAACAUAAAUGCUCCUGGGUUCUAUGUAUUUGUUCCUAUUUACUCUAGUCUUUAGAACAUUGAUAGAANNNNNNNNNNNNNNNNUCCUAUUUUCUAUUCUAACAGUUAUUGUGUUUGGGGGGUGGGAGUCAGAAGUUCAGCCAUGGAGUGGAGUUUGUUCUUUUGUUAUCAUUUAAUGCGGGUGCCUUAGAUAACCAACUGGAACAUGCAUUGGUGUCUCUAGCAACGGUGAUGCUAGAAUCUCCUUCCUUGAUUGUACAAUGUACACAAGGUAUGUUUUCAGUUUGACUAACACUUAUUCAGAUGUUGCCUUGUUAGCCAUUUUGUUACUGGAUCUUUUAGCAUAAUCAGUUGUCAUAUAAUUCUAGUUUAUAUCAGAAUAAUCAGUUGUCAUAUUUUCCUAAUACUAUAUGUUUGAACUUUUAAGCUUAAGUAAAAUGAAUUUCUGUCCUACCAUAAUAUGUUCAAUAUCAAAGACCUUUAGGGGGGUCUUUCCUCAAAUGGCACGAACCGAGACAUGUGAUGAUAUUCUUCAACAGGUCAUUUUUCUAUUUGGUUAUACCGGGUUAGUGUAUAACUAUUUGAUUUGGUGACUGUUUUGAUUUAUUUCUCAUUUAGUUUCAUUUGGAUUUGUGGGUUUCGUGCAGGUUGAUGACCCUCGACUUAUUCAACGAAUUUCAGUUGCAGCAUCAGGCAGGCGGUAGCUACAAAGACUAAGACGCCUCAUGAUGCAUGUGAUAGACUGGUGUGGUUUUGCUACCUAUUCUCUUUAUCUCAGUUUUCCUUUUCUUGUUUUUCUUUUGUUUUGCCUGGAAUGAUUGUGAAAGUUACUGUGGGUAAUGGUUGCCCUUUGAAUGUACUCUCUUGUUACUUUAAUAAUUGGCCAAAUU
RNAcentral lists this long non-coding RNA (1038 nucleotides) under Trifolium pratense (red clover). RNAcentral's name for it is "long non-coding RNA (TPRA_LNC007302)". The record is from RNAcentral. Lineage: Eukaryota; Viridiplantae; Streptophyta; Magnoliopsida; Fabales; Fabaceae.